RNAcentral lists this transfer RNA (86 nucleotides) under Caudoviricetes sp. Its description in RNAcentral is "tRNA-Ser". It matches the Rfam family "tRNA". Rfam says of the family: Transfer RNA (tRNA) molecules are approximately 80 nucleotides in length. Lineage: Duplodnaviria; Heunggongvirae; Uroviricota; Caudoviricetes. The record is from RNAcentral.
UGCCGUGUGUCCGGGCGGUGAGGAAGCGGUCUUGAAAACCGUUGAUCGGAAACGAUUUGCAGGUUCGAAUCCUGUGCACGGCGCCA